Molecule: long non-coding RNA, 359 nt
Organism: Chrysoperla carnea
Lineage: Eukaryota; Metazoa; Arthropoda; Insecta; Neuroptera; Chrysopidae
Exons: 3
Source: RefSeq, a predicted model, not a curated record
CAAAAUAAAUAGCCUCUUUCAUUGCUUUUCUGGGUUCAAUUUGAGAGGGACGUGUUAUUUUAUCUCGUGUCAUCGUCGAAUUCACUGAGGAAAUCAGUGACUUAGGACGAGUGUGAUUUUCUAAAACACACUCAAUAUGAGAGCAAAGUGGCGUAAGAAGCGUAUGCGAAGGCUAAAGCGAAAGCGCAGGAAGAUGCGUGCAAGGUCCAAGUAAACUGAAUACGCAACAGUGGAAGUUCUUGACACAAAAAAACAUUGACUCUCCAUAAUUGCCUGUAUUCUAACCUUUAAACAUUUAUGUUAUGUAUUAUAAGGAUUUAAAUUUCGAUUUCUUAAUAAAAUUGAAAAUCUAAAUAAAA